UGAACGCUGGCGGUAUGCCUAACACAUGCAAGUCGUACGAGAGUUUUUAACUCUAGUGGCGGACGGGUGAGUAACACGUGAGAAUUUGCCUUUAGGAGGGGGAUAACAAUUGGAAACGAAUGCUAAUACCCCAUAUGCUUUCGAGUGAAAUGGAUUUAUAUUUAUCCGCCUAGAGAGAAGCUCGCGGCUGAUUAGCUUGUUGGUAAGGUAAGAGCUUACCAAGGCGACGAUCAGUAUCUGGUUUGAGAGGACGAUCAGACACACUGGAACUGAGACACGGUCCAGACUCCUACGGGAGGCAGCAGUGGGGAAUUUUCCGCAAUGGGCGAAAGCCUGACGGAGCAAUACCGCGUGAGGGAAGACUGCCUAUGGGUUGUAAAGCUCUGUCGACAGGGAAGAAAUUGUAAUUAUCCAAUAGGUAGUUACAUUGACGGUACCU
Molecule: ribosomal RNA, 439 nt
Filed under: uncultured bacterium
Lineage: Bacteria
Description: bacterial SSU rRNA
Rfam family: Bacterial small subunit ribosomal RNA
Source: RNAcentral